Pelobates cultripes (western spadefoot toad) is the source of this 295-nucleotide non-coding RNA. The record is from the annotation of a GenBank genome assembly. NCBI's taxonomy places the organism in Eukaryota, Metazoa, Chordata, Amphibia, Anura, Pelobatidae.
CUCAUUAACUUCUUUUGCAUAGUUUCCUUAAUUAGAUGCUUCUCUCUACAGAGAGGUUGUAGUCACUGCAAGAAAAUUAAUGCCUGGCAGUAUACUGGGCUACUGAAUUGCAUGAUUAUUUGCCAAGAAGUGUGCAACAUUUAAAUGAUUAUAAGCACAUGAAGAUGUCAUGAUCAAGAGCUUAGCAGGAAAUAUAGGAAAGUGAGAAAGUGAUGCUAAGAUUAACUAUCAUAUCUUUGGCAUUCUUUAUAUUUACAAAGCUAUGUGUACAUGCGGUUUCAUUGGCAAAGCCAUU